Molecule: ribosomal RNA, 253 nt
Filed under: uncultured bacterium
Lineage: Bacteria
Description: partial 16S ribosomal RNA
Rfam family: Bacterial small subunit ribosomal RNA
Source: RNAcentral
UACGAAGGGGGCUAGCGUUGUUCGGAAUUACUGGGCGUAAAGCGCACGUAGGCGGAUCGAUCAGUCAGGGGUGAAAUCCCAGGGCUCAACCCUGGAACUGCCUUUGAUACUGUCGAUCUGGAGUAUGGAAGAGGUGAGUGGAAUUCCGAGUGUAGAGGUGAAAUUCGUAGAUAUUCGGAGGAACACCAGUGGCGAAGGCGGCUCACUGGUUCAUUACUGACGCUGAGGUGCGAAAGCGUGGGGAGCAAACAGG